UCGCCCUUGGAGUUUGAUCCUGGCUCAGGUUGAACGGUAGCGGCAGGCUUAAUACAUGCAAGUCGAGGGCCAGCGCAGUGUAGCUAUACAUGGGCGGCGACCGGCAAACGGGAGCGGAACUCGUACGCAAUCUACCCUUAACUGAUGAAUAGCCCUCCGAAAGGAGGAUUAAUAGAUCGUAACUUAAUGAAGUGGCAUCAGUUUAUUAAUAUAGGUCCGGCGGUUUUGGAAGAGCGUGCGCCUGAUUAGGUAGUUGGCGGGGUAACGGCCCGCCAAGCCUGCGAUCAGUAACUGGUGUGAGAGCACGACCAGAGACACGGGCACUGAGACACGGGCCCGACUCCUUCGGGAGGCAGCAGUAAGGAAUAUUGGUGAAUGGACGCAAGUAUGAACCCGCCACGCCGCGUGAAGGAUGAAGGUCCUCUGGUUUGUAAACUUCUUUUAUAUGGGAGGAAACCUCUUAUUCUUAAGAGACUGACGGUACCAUAGGAAUUGGCACCGGCUAACUCCGUGCCAGCAGCCGCGGUAAUACGGAGGGUGGAAGCGUUAUCCGGAUUCACUGGGUUUAAAGGGAGCGUUGGAGGGCAGGUAAGUCAGUGGAGAAAUCUUCGAGCUUAAGUCGGAAACUGCCGUUGAUACUAUCUGUCUUGAAUACCGUGGUGAUGAGCGGAAUAUGUCAUGUAGCGGUGAAAUGGUUAGACAUGACAUAGAACCCCAAUUGCGAAGGCAGCUCGUUACACGAAUAUUGAUUCUGAGGCUGGAAAGCGUGGGGAUCAAACAGGAUUAGAUACCCUGGUAGUCCACCCCCUAAACGAUGGAUACUCGACAUACGCGAUAACACUGUGUGUGUCUGUGCGAAAGCAUUAAGUAUCCCACCUGGGAAGAACGACCGCAAGGUUGAAAGACAAAGGAAUUGGCGGGGGUCCGCACAAGCGGUGGAGCUUGUGGUUUAAUUCGAUGAUACGCGUGGAACCUUACCUGGGCUAGAAUGCAGUCUGGCCGUGGGUGAAAGCUCAUUUUGUAGCAAAACACAGAUUGUAAGGUGCUGCAUGGCUGUCGUCAGCACGUGCCGUGAGGUGUUGGGUUAAGUCCCGCAACGAGCGGAACCCCCAUCAGUAGUUGCCAACAGGUAACGCUGGGAACUCUACUGAAACUGCCGUCGAAAGACGCGAGGAAGGAGGGCAUGAUGUCAAGUCAUCAAGGCCUUUAUGCCCAGGGCUACACACGUGCUACAAUGGGGCGUCCAAAGGGCUGCCACUUAGCGAUAAGGAGCCAAACCCAAAAAACGCCUCUCUGUUCAGAUUGGAGUCUGCAACUCGACUCCAAGAAGCUGGAAUCGCUAGUAAUCGUAUAUCAGCAAUGAUACGGUGAAUACGUUCCCGGUCCUUGCACACACCGCCCGACAAGCCAUGGAA
Molecule: ribosomal RNA, 1415 nt
Filed under: uncultured Bacteroidota bacterium
Lineage: Bacteria; Pseudomonadati; Bacteroidota
Description: bacterial SSU rRNA
Rfam family: Bacterial small subunit ribosomal RNA
Source: RNAcentral